AUGAUGAACGCUAGCUACAGGCUUAACACAUGCAAGUCGAGGGGCAGCAUGGUCUUAGCUUGCUAAGGCCGAUGGCGACCGGCGCACGGGUGAGUAACACGUAUCCAACCUGCCGUCUACUCUUGGACAGCCUUCUGAAAGGAAGAUUAAUACAAGAUGGCAUCAUGAGUCCACAUGUUCACAUGAUUAAAGGUAUUCCGGUAGACGAUGGGGAUGCGUUCCAUUAGAUAGUAGGCGGGGUAACGGCCCACCUAGUCUUCGAUGGAUAGGGGUUCUGAGAGGAAGGUCCCCCACAUUGGAACUGAGACACGGUCCAAACUCCUACGGGAGGCAGCAGUGAGGAAUAUUGGUCAAUGGGCGAGAGCCUGAACCAGCCAAGUAGCGUGAAGGAUGACUGCCCUAUGGGUUGUAAACUUCUUUUAUAAAGGAAUAAAGUCGGGUAUGCAUACCCGUUUGCAUGUACUUUAUGAAUAAGGAUCGGCUAACUCCGUGCCAGCAGCCGCGGUAAUACGGAGGAUCCGAGCGUUAUCCGGAUUUAUUGGGUUUAAAGGGAGCGUAGAUGGAUGUUUAAGUCAGUUGUGAAAGUUUGCGGCUCAACCGUAAAAUUGCAGUUGAUACUGGAUAUCUUGAGUGCAGUUGAGGCAGGCGGAAUUCGUGGUGUAGCGGUGAAAUGCUUAGAUAUCACGAAGAACUCCGAUUGCGAAGGCAGCCUGCUAAGCUGCAACUGACAUUGAGGCUCGAAAGUGUGGGUAUCAAACAGGAUUAGAUACCCUGGUAGUCCACACGGUAAACGAUGAAUACUCGCUGUUUGCGAUAUACAGCAAGCGGCCAAGCGAAAGCGUUAAGUAUUCCACCUGGGGAGUACGCCGGCAACGGUGAAACUCAAAGGAAUUGACGGGGGCCCGCACAAGCGGAGGAACAUGUGGUUUAAUUCGAUGAUACGCGAGGAACCUUACCCGGGCUUAAAUUGCAGAUGAAUUACGGUGAAAGCCGUAAGCCGCAAGGCAUCUGUGAAGGUGCUGCAUGGUUGUCGUCAGCUCGUGCCGUGAGGUGUCGGCUUAAGUGCCAUAACGAGCGCAACCCUUGUUGUCAGUUACUAACAGGUCAUGCUGAGGACUCUGACAAGACUGCCAUCGUAAGAUGUGAGGAAGGUGGGGAUGACGUCAAAUCAGCACGGCCCUUACGUCCGGGGCUACACACGUGUUACAAUGGGGGGUACAGAGGGCCGCUACCACGCGAGUGGAUGCCAAUCCCAAAAACCUCUCUCAGUUCGGACUGGAGUCUGCAACCCGACUCCACGAAGCUGGAUUCGCUAGUAAUCGCGCAUCAGCCACGGCGCGGUGAAUACGUUCCCGGGCCUUGUACACACCGCCCGUCAAGCCAUGGGAGCCGGGGGUACCUGAAGUGCGUAACCGCGAGGAGCGCCCUAGGGUAA
RNAcentral lists this ribosomal RNA (1435 nucleotides) under uncultured organism. Its description in RNAcentral is "SSU rRNA". It matches the Rfam family "Bacterial small subunit ribosomal RNA". The record is from RNAcentral.